This is a small nucleolar RNA of Tachyglossus aculeatus (Australian echidna), 138 nucleotides long. NCBI's taxonomy places the organism in Eukaryota, Metazoa, Chordata, Mammalia, Monotremata, Tachyglossidae. The record is from RefSeq and is a predicted model, not a curated record.
CCCCUCUCAGGGUCACACCUGGAGAGUUUCCAGUCCUCUACCAGUCUCAGCUACGGGAGGGAGAGUCAAGCAGAGGCCUACCCAUUCCAUUCCUAGCUUGGCUAGUGGCUGGCGAGUGGAAGGCAAUCGGCUUCAUGU